UUGAACGCUGGCGGCAGGCCUAACACAUGCAAGUCGAACGGUAACAGGAAGCAGCUUGCUGCUUCGCUGACGAGUGGCGGACGGGUGAGUAAUGUCUGGGGAACUGCCUGAUGGAGGGGGAUAACUACUGGAAACGGUAGCUAAUACCGCAUAACGUCGCAAGACCAAAGAGGGGGACCUUAGGGCCUCUUGCCAUCGGAUGUGCCCAGAUGGGAUUAGCUAGUAGGUGGGGUAACGGCUCACCUAGGCGACGAGCCCUAGCUGGUCUGAGAGGAUGACCAGCAGCACGGGAACUGAGACAAGGUCCAGACUCGUACGGGAGGCAGGAGUGGGGAAUAUUGCACAAUGGGCGCAAGCCUGAUGCAGCCAAGCCGCGUGUAUGAAGAAGGCCUUCGGGUUGUAAAGUUCGUUGAGCGGGGAGGAAGGGAGUAAUGUUAAUACCUUUGCUCAUUGACGUUACCCGCAGAAGAAGCACCGGCUAACUCCGUG
This 489-nucleotide ribosomal RNA is filed under the name uncultured bacterium. RNAcentral describes it as "partial 16S ribosomal RNA". It matches the Rfam family "Bacterial small subunit ribosomal RNA", at positions 30 to 507 of the family's 1533-position model. The record is from RNAcentral.